Molecule: ribosomal RNA, 468 nt
Filed under: uncultured bacterium
Lineage: Bacteria
Description: partial 16S ribosomal RNA
Rfam family: Bacterial small subunit ribosomal RNA
Source: RNAcentral
GACGAACGCUGGCGGCGUGCUUAACACAUGCAAGUCGAACGGUGAAGCUCCAGCUUGCUGGAGUGGAUCAGUGGCGAACGGGUGAGUAACACGUGAGCAACCUGCCCCUGACUCUGGAAUAAGCGCUGGAAACGGCGUCUAAUACUGGAUACGAGAAGGGUCCGCAUGGGCACUUUCUGGAAAGUUUUUCGGUUGGGGAUGGGCUCGCGGCCUAUCAGCUUGUUGGUGAGGUAAUGGCUCACCAAGGCGACGACAGGUAGCCGGCCUGAGAGGGCGACCGGCCACACUGGGACUGAGACACGGCCCAGACUCCUACGGGAGGCAGCAGUGGGGAAUAUUGCACAAUGGGCGAAAGCCUGAUGCAGCGACGCCGCGUGAGGGAUGACGGCCUUCGGGUUGUAAACCUCCUUCAGCAGGGAAGAAGCGAAAGUGACGGUACCUGCAGAAGAAGCACCGGCUAACUACGUG